AGCGGCGUGACGCUCAGGGAUCCCCCGGGCGCCCCGGGCUCCCGCCUGCGCGAGCAUCCCGGGGACCUGGAGCGGGGGCGGUGUCGGGGCCUCUCAGAGACUCUCAGGGGAGCACCGGGCUUGGCGGUCUCCCCGGAUCCCUUGACGGAAGGGGAGAUUGGCUCCAGCCUCAGAGAGGGCUGCAGAACCCUGGAUGGAUGGGAAGUCUGGAGUCUCCAGGAUUCAUGGAUGGGGUCUAAGCUGCCUUUCUCUUUACCAGCUGUUUUGCCCCAAAUAGCUAUUGUGUGCACUUGGCUCAGAUCCCAAGAGCAAGUACUCAGGAAUUCUACAGAAAACACGUCAUGUAAAAUACAGCUGAGCUUCCAAGACAAAUUAUGAACACUGGAGGAAUUACAAUCACAUUACAGCAGCAACUGGAUGAUGACUCCCAGCUGGGGCAAUUGGGGUG
RNAcentral lists this long non-coding RNA (448 nucleotides) under Homo sapiens (human). Its description in RNAcentral is "HSALNT0256455". Lineage: Eukaryota; Metazoa; Chordata; Mammalia; Primates; Hominidae. The record is from RNAcentral.